CCUACUCCUACGGGAGGCAGCAGUGGGGAAUAUUGCACAAUGGGCGGAAGCCUGAUGCAGCGACGCCGCGUGAGGGAUGACGGCCUUCGGGUUGUAAACCUCUUUCAGUAGGGAAGAAGCGAAAGUGACGGUACCUGCAGAAGAAGCGCCGGCUAACUACGUGCCAGCAGCCGCGGUAAUACGUAGGGCGCAAGCGUUAUCCGGAAUUAUUGGGCGUAAAGAGCUCGUAGGCGGUUUGUCGCGUCUGCCGUGAAAGUCCGGGGCUCAACUCCGGAUCUGCGGUGGGUACGGGCAGACUAGAGUGAUGUAGGGGAGACUGGAAUUCCUGGUGUAGCGGUGAAAUGCGCAGAUAUCAGGAGGAACACCGAUGGCGAAGGCAGGUCUCUGGGCAUUAACUGACGCUGAGGAGCGAAAGCAUGGGGAGCGAACAGGAUUAGAUACCCUGGUAGUCCAUGCCGUAAACGUUGGGCACUAGGUGUGGGGGACAUUCCACGUUUUCCGCGCCGUAGCUAACGCAUUAAGUGCCCCGCCUGGGGAGUACGGCCGCAAGGCUAAAACUCAAAGGAAUUGACGGGGGCCCGCACAAGCGGCGGAGCAUGCGGAUUAAUUCGAUGCAACGCGAAGAACCUUACCAAGGCUUGACAUGAACCGGUAAGAGCCUGAAAUCAG
This 669-nucleotide ribosomal RNA is filed under the name Arthrobacter sp. RNAcentral describes it as "bacterial SSU rRNA". It matches the Rfam family "Bacterial small subunit ribosomal RNA", at positions 332 to 1009 of the family's 1533-position model. The record is from RNAcentral. Lineage: Bacteria; Bacillati; Actinomycetota; Actinomycetes; Micrococcales; Micrococcaceae.